Molecule: long non-coding RNA, 1933 nt
Filed under: Panax ginseng (ginseng)
Lineage: Eukaryota; Viridiplantae; Streptophyta; Magnoliopsida; Apiales; Araliaceae
Description: long non-coding RNA (PGIN_LNC015495)
Source: RNAcentral
GACUUCAAAAUGAAGAAGAAUACUGGAGAGAAUAAAUUAUGUCUCGCUCUGGCGUAACUGUAGAAAGUAUAUAAUUAAGGUUCUAAGGUACAUAAUAUUGGUAACAUGAUUUGCUUGGGGCAAUAACCUUCAUGUCGGAAGAUCUCGUGGGGACAUUUACAUGCAUGGGUUACAAGGUCUGACUGUGAAGAGUGCUUCAUUGUUCAUCCUGCCACUAAGCAGCGUUUCACGUACCUGGAAUUGGUUGGUAUGAAGAGAACUUUAGGUACUUCUCUUUUAUUCUUUUUUGAUUUCCAUUUUCGAGUCAUUUAGAACAAAGAAUUGGAUACGAGGGUUGUUAGGUUUGAUUCUUUAUUGAUUGUGACAAUAGCAAUUUUCGGUUUCCAAAUCAUGUGUAGAAAUUUGAUGGGCAUCCUUCUUGGUUUUCCUUUUUUUAUGUUGCUUCACAUAUGUUCUUUCAAAGUACUUCAUCCACAACUACAAAUGGACUAAAGUGGGGUAUUCAACACCUUGAAGUCGUGGUGGUUUUGUUCUUUUCUUGUUAUGGUGAUCAAAUUUGUAUACCUAAGCUCUACUACAUUAUGGAAACCUUGAAGCAUUUUCCCCAAUAGAGCUUCCUGGAUACAUUCUCUUUUCUCAAAGAAGAUGCUUUGCCUCUAUUUGAUCUUCCUGUCACUACAUAAAACAUGAAUCUACCCUUUAUUUUUUGUGCAUUGUAGUUACGAGUGACUCGGCAUCAUUUCCUACAAUUUGACUAAAAUUGUUAGAUCAGCCUGCCUUGAUAUCUCGGAGUGGCUGAAUUUUUUUUAGAAUUUCUUUCUCUCAAUUCCAGUAUUGCUGCUUAUAGCAUUUUGUUUCACUCCUGGGUUUUAGAUUUCCUUAAAUUAUUUUUUGUGGUCUCCUUUUGAUAUAUUUUAGAUUCCUCUUCACUUUAUUUCACUCAUUGGCCCUAUUUUUUUAAAUUAAUAAAUAAGUGAGUCUAAUUUAUGGGUUGAGUUCCAUGACCUUAUUUACAGUUGUAAUAUUACUAUUUUAUUAUCCUUAAUACCUGGUAUGGUUAUUACGUAUUAAGCCUCCUUUAUAGAGAUGACUUUGAAAUAUUUUCUUUUAGUUAUUGAAGGGAAACUUAGUCUUAAAUUCUGAUGUUGUUUAUAUUAAUUUGAAUAAUUUUCUGUUUCAGAAAUGAGGAUAUGAUGAGAUACAUCUCUCUGGGGAUCUGGCAAUGAUUCCAAAUGAGAAGGGAUUCGUAAGGUCCCUGCUUUCAUAUAUAUAUAUAUAUUACUAGUUUAAUGUGUAUUUACUUUGUAAAUGUCUGCUCCACUCUUUAGUUAAGGUUUUUUAUAUUGUAUUAAAUUGAUUAAUCAUUGAGAAGGGGCAUUUUAGCCAGUAUUUCACUAUUGGGAGAAGAUGUCAACGUGUCCUUGCUGCAUUUCAUAUUUUGCAAAAUGCAAACCAUAAGCAUGGAUGACAUAUACAAAACAUGAUUUUACAUUGAUAUAUUUGGUAUGUAUUGUGUUUUCAUGUCUGCCUCCCUCCCUCUCUUGGCUGAAAUGACUUGAACACUUUUUUGUAUUGAUUAUUGAACCUACAAACAUAUUAUUGUUCUAUAUGCAUAAAUUUGUGGAAGGAGUUGCUAGUAAUUUGAUUCACAGAUCAUUUUAUUGCAUUAAUCACUUUGUUAAUAAUUGAACUUGCAGUGUGCGGGGUAUGAUGUUUGAAGAUUCAAAUGCUUUACCAACUUCUUUCAGUUGUUUAUACUGAUUACUACUGUGUAAGCGAAGCAGCAAGAUACUAACAGCUUUCGGUUCUUCAAUAAGAAUUUGUACAUGUAAAAGUUAAGCAGUAUUAUCCGAGACCAAUUGUAUUAUUUAUUGUCUUCGAUGAUGGAUAUCUAUCAAGUCUUCAUAUAUCAUUGUGAUAAAUUUAUCUCCAA